GGACCGAUAGUGUAGUGGUAAUACGUUGCGUCCGAAUGCGAAGAGGAAUGGUUCUACUCCAUCCCGGUCCA
Molecule: transfer RNA, 71 nt
Filed under: Gongylonema pulchrum
Lineage: Eukaryota; Metazoa; Nematoda; Chromadorea; Rhabditida; Gongylonematidae
Rfam family: tRNA
About the family: Transfer RNA (tRNA) molecules are approximately 80 nucleotides in length. Their secondary structure includes four short double-helical elements and three loops (D, anti-codon, and T loops).
Source: Rfam by way of RNAcentral